UACGGGGGGAGCAAGCGUUGUUCGGAUUUACUGGGCGUAAAGGGCGCGUAGGCGGCGCGACAAGUCACUUGUGAAAUCUCCGGGCUUAACCCGGAGCGGCCAAGUGAUACUGUAGUGCUAGAGUGCGGAAGGGGCUACUGGAAUUCUCGGUGUAGCGGUGAAAUGCGUAGAUAUCGAGAGGAACACCUGCGGCGAAGGCGGGUAGCUGGGCCGACACUGACGCUGAGGCGCGAAAGCGUGGGGAGCGAACAGG
Molecule: ribosomal RNA, 253 nt
Filed under: uncultured bacterium
Lineage: Bacteria
Description: partial 16S ribosomal RNA
Rfam family: Bacterial small subunit ribosomal RNA
Source: RNAcentral